Molecule: long non-coding RNA, 1627 nt
Organism: Cyprinus carpio (common carp)
Lineage: Eukaryota; Metazoa; Chordata; Actinopteri; Cypriniformes; Cyprinidae
Exons: 3
Source: RefSeq, a predicted model, not a curated record
UAGCCAGUUGGACCCACCCACCUCUAUGUCCUUGGAGGUUGAGAGAUCAUUUCUGGUUUGCAUCUCAGAUUGUUGGGUCAAGCGGAUGUUUUCUAAAGGUUGUGAGUUGAAUGUGAAAUUGUCUGCACCAUGUCGCUUUCAUUGUUUCAUUAAGGCGUUCACUCUGGAUUAACAAGAGAUCCGGAGAACCUUAACAUCCUACCAUCUUUUCCUUCAGCUGCCAGCUCCGUCUCUUGCUAUGACGAGGUGGAACAUUCCUAUCCACACUCUUUACUGAGACGAAGGCGGUUCAUUCUCAGCUGUUUAGGCCCCUUUGACGUCUCGGCUCACCAUAAGGUCAAUGACUUGACCCUUUGUGCAUCAUGACCAUUGAGCAGGCUAUUAAUGGAGACUUGGGGAUGGGGGGGGUCUGUUUGUUUGAUUUACUUUGACAAGUGUCCAACUAGACGUCCCAUGAUUCUUUUGCUCCUUUGAUUGAGUUGCUUGUCAUUUCUUCGUUAUCCCUUGCUCAAGCCAGCUGUAUGAUGGAAGCAGAGAAUACAGAAGAAGACUGAACACACUUCUGAAGCACAGACAAAGGAUCCUGUUAGGAAAUCCCUUUCUGCAGAUUCUGAUGCCCUCCAGCACACCGUUACAGCGCAACUGGUGCAUGACCAGAGGAUUCUCCAUCGCCCCAGGAGUCUUAGUCUCAUUGGGGAUGAUGCAGCGCACAAAGUGAGGGUGAGUUGACCUCAAGUUGGUCAUCAGCUUGUUCAGAUUCUCCUGUUGGUAGACCACAGAGGAUUUGAAUUUACAUUCAAUAAAACCAUUAGAGAAAAAGCAGUGUUAAAUUAUUAAAUAACCUUACAUACCCUGUGGAGGGCUGACACUGUCUGGAAGGAAGAGCCCUUCUUUUUGCCUCCUUUGCCACCCUUACCUCCAGAGUCCGCAGCUGUGAAAUACAUGAUAUUUGUUGUUGUUGCUAUUAUACAGUAAAAUGAGUGCUUAUUAUAUUUUUGUAUCAUGCAUCAGUGUUUACUUGCCUGAGUCAGCACUAGCAUAAUUAGCAAACAAAAUGCCCAACAGUUUAAGAGUUGACUUCUGGAACAACCCUACAACAGUCUCAUUGAGAGGGUCCUUGUUCUUCACCAGCCAGUUUGAAAUGUUGUAGUCAACGGUGCCAGCAUAGUGAACCAGGGCAAAAUGGGCCUCUGGUUUACCCUUGACAAUCCUGGGCUUCUGGAAGUUUGGAUUUUUGCCCAAGUGGUUGUCAUAAAGCUUAGCUUUGAAUGUUGAAUCACUGGCUUUGGGGAACAUGCACUCCUCUUCAAGGAUGGACAUGAUGCCCAUGGGCUAAAAUGAGUAGAAGAUUGUGAUAGUCAAUAUGCCAGUUUUCUACAACAGUUAAGACUAAAAACUGUUAGGCUUAACAGUCCCCCCCACUCCCCACACAGUAUAUUCAUUAAUAAUUACCCACCUUCUCAAUUAGUUCAAUACAAGCCUGCAAGUCCAUUCCAAAGUCAAUGAACUCCCACUCAAUGCCCUCCUUCUUGUAUUCCUCUUGCUCCAGCACAAACAUGUGAUGGUUGAAGAACUGCUGCAACUUCUCAUUAGUGAAGUUGAUGCACAGCUGCUCAAAGGUGUUGAA